This 465-nucleotide ribosomal RNA is filed under the name uncultured bacterium. RNAcentral's name for it is "partial 16S ribosomal RNA". It matches the Rfam family "Bacterial small subunit ribosomal RNA", at positions 28 to 507 of the family's 1533-position model. The record is from RNAcentral.
GACGAACGCUGGCGGCGUGCUUAACACAUGCAAGUCGAACGGAAAGGCCCCCUUGUGGGGUACUCGAGUGGCGAACGGGUGAGUAACACGUGAGUAACCUACCCUUGACUUUGGGAUAACUUCAGGAAACUGGGGCUAAUACCGGAUAGGAGCUCCUGCUGCAUGGUGGGGGUUGGAAAGUUUCGGCGGUUGGGGCUGGACUCGCGGCUUAUCAGCUUGUUGGUGGGGUAGUGGCUCACCAAGGCUUUGACGGGUAGCCGGCCUGGGAGGGUGACCGGCCACAAUGGGCCUACGGGACGGCGCAGUCGGCUACGGUAGGCAGCAGUGGGGAGUAUGGCACAGUGGGCGGACGCCUGAGGCAGCAACGCCGCGUGCGGGAUGACGGCCUUCGGGUUGUGAACCGCUUUCGCCUGUGACGAAGCGUGAGUGACGGUAAUGGGUAAAGAAGCACCGGCUAACUACGUG